AGGGGCGGGAGGGGUCGGGC
RNAcentral lists this microRNA (20 nucleotides) under Gallus gallus (chicken). RNAcentral describes it as "gga-miR-1607". The record is from miRBase by way of RNAcentral. Lineage: Eukaryota; Metazoa; Chordata; Aves; Galliformes; Phasianidae.